CGUGCCUAAUACAUGCAAGUCGAACGAAUCUUCUUCGGAAGAUGAGUGGCGAACGGGUGAGUAAUACAUAGGUAACCUGCCCCUGUGCGGGGGAUAACAGGAGGAAACUCCUGCUAAUACCGCAUAGCCAUGAGCACCGCAUGGAGCUCAUGCCAAAUAUCCUUUAUGGGAUAGCGCAGGGAUGGACCUAUGGCGCAUUAGCUGGUUGGCGGGGCAACGGCCCACCAAGGCAACGAUGCGUAGCCGGCCUGAGAGGGCGGACGGCCACAUUGGGACUGAGACACGGCCCAGACUCCUACGGGAGGCAGCAGUAGGGAAUUUUCGGCAAUGGGGGAAACCCUGACCGAGCAACGCCGCGUGAGCGAAGAAGGCCUUCGGGUCGUAAAGCUCUGUUGUAAAGGAAGAACGGCGCAUACAGGAAAUGGUAUGCGAGUGACGGUACUUUACCAGAAAGCCACGGCUAACUACGUGCCAGCAGCCGCGGUAAUACGUAGGUGGCGAGCGUUAUCCGGAAUCAUUGGGCGUAAAGAGGGAGCAGGCGGCCGCAAGGGUCUGUGGUGAAAGACCGAAGCUAAACUUCGGUAAGCCAUGGAAACCGGGCGGCUAGAGUGCGGAAGAGGAUCGUGGAAUUCCAUGUGUAGCGGUGAAAUGCGUAGAUAUAUGGAGGAACACCAGUGGCGAAGGCGACGGUCUGGGCCGCAACUGACGCUCAUUCCCGAAAGCGUGGGGAGCAAAUAGGAUUAGAUACCCUAGUAGUCCACGCCGUAAACGAUGGUCACUAAGUGUCGGGGGUCAAACCCCGGUGCUGCAGUCAACGCAAUAAGUGACCCGCCU
RNAcentral lists this ribosomal RNA (834 nucleotides) under human gut metagenome. RNAcentral describes it as "bacterial SSU rRNA". It matches the Rfam family "Bacterial small subunit ribosomal RNA", at positions 43 to 874 of the family's 1533-position model. The record is from RNAcentral.